Solea senegalensis (Senegalese sole) is the source of this 1457-nucleotide long non-coding RNA. RefSeq lists it as uncharacterized. The transcript has 3 exons. Lineage: Eukaryota; Metazoa; Chordata; Actinopteri; Pleuronectiformes; Soleidae. The record is from RefSeq and is a predicted model, not a curated record.
GGUUCCGGUUCGAGUCCUCGCGAAAGCAGGAGUAGAUCAAUCCUAACAAUAAACGUUUGAAUACAUAUGUAUAAUUUUUAACGAUCAUUAUAAAUAUGAUUAUUAUUUUUACCCAUACGUAAAAUGAUAUUAUCAAAUCAUAAACAGGUAUACUGUCUAAAUAUAUAUAUGAAAAAGAAUAAAACAUGUGAUUAAAGAUGGAGGCUAAGGUGGUUAUUGUCCUAAGAUUUGACUUUGAUACAAAGAUAGUUUUUAAGAUAAGUUGUUUAAGUUCUCUGCCUUAAACUGAUGGCAUAGAUCUAUAUCUAGGCGAAUUAACAUGUGUCUAAGUAUCUGCAUGUAAUGAUCCUAAAUUGAUGCAUUAUAAAUAAUAACAUUUAUAAUGCAUAAGAUGAAUAAAAUGAAAUUAAGGUUCUGAAUGGAACUGAAAAUACUGAUCAAGUUUUUCUUCCGUUGAAUCUCUGUGGCUUCACGACUGGCUUUUCCCUGAAAUGUUUCAUCUCAGAAAUUCUACUCAACAUGAUGUUAUUUGUGGACUUGUUUUGAACAAUUCUAAUGAUGACUUUUUGGGCCAGUUAGUUAGUUAACUUUUCUACUACAACAAGAACAAAAUAGAAACUCAUACACAGCACUGAAAUAUAACUGAAUAAACCCAGUACAAAUGACACUAAACUAACCUGAUUUCAAAGAGUGGGUCUUCCCUGAUCUUGGCAGCCAGGUCCAGAUUGGAGGCCGGGGUUGCUGGGUUGAAGAUGGAACCGGGUAGGAGACCGGUCUCAGCUGAUGGACCGCUCUCUGGCUCCUCAUAUUGGUCAGUGAUCUGCUUGUCAAUGGAACGUCCAAGCAGAGACUCGUCCCUGGACACACUAAAAUACGACAUCAUUUAGCCACCAUUCUUGACAUAACCACGAAAAUAUUGUUCUUUAUGCUAUGUUUUAAAUUUAGAGGGACAACUAACUUGAUGGCUCCAGAGACCUCUGCAUAUCUUGUAAUUUCUUCUCUGGCUCUCGCUACGAUUUCCUUUUGAGGCGUGGCUGACCUACUUCCACUGAUGACGCUGGUGAUCAGUAACACCUGUGGCAGCUCAUCCUCACCUGCUCCUGAUGAGCUUCUUAAGCCUUUGUCGUCCCAGUCACCAGCGUCAGAUUGUUUUUGCUCUACCAGUGGUCACCACGUCUCCUGCUUCCCCGAGAGCUGCGGAUUCACCACAACCCACCUCGGCCGUUGGAACCUCCCCUGUCUCUAUUCACCAUCGUGAGUCUGUUCCUGCCAGCAUCCCCCCACUCACUGAGUCUCACCCUGGGCUCUCGCCAUUUCCCGGCACAGCUGCAUCGGCAGUAAACCUUGUUAAACCGUGAUCUGUCUCCUCUGCAUUGUCGGGUCCUCUUUGUAGUCAAACCACUCUCAUUAGAGAGUGUCUUAUUUCAGUAGUGCAAAUAAAAAUGAGCUAAUAAUGA